UACAAUUUUAAUUUUAAUAAAAUAUGUGACAUGUCACGAAACAAUAUAUCCAUUCCAUCUAACAACAGUUGUCACUAUUGGAAGUUUGAAUUGUAAUGAUGAAACUGCAUGCAAGCUUGGUUCUUGUAUUGAUUAUUGCAGUAAUUGACAUAAGCAGGUCUUCAAGUUGUACCGGAUGCAGCCAGAAGUGCCGGGGUCGACCUAUGUUUAAUGCGUUUUGGAGCUGUUACAAAAGUUGCUGCCGAUACCAACCACCACCUCGACGGAAUUGUAGCGAUUGCUAUCAAUUAUGUCGAGACCAGCCAAUGUAUUAUCCUUGGGCAAAAUGCUUGAAAAGUAAAUGUCCUAGUCAAAAAUGCGGCGGUUAAUAGAUAGAUCGACGAUUUGAGUAUUAUUAAAAUAUAAAAAGUGUUA
Molecule: long non-coding RNA, 414 nt
Organism: Mytilus californianus (California mussel)
Lineage: Eukaryota; Metazoa; Mollusca; Bivalvia; Mytilida; Mytilidae
Exons: 2
Source: RefSeq, a predicted model, not a curated record